AUACCUUUCUCGGGCCUUUUGGCUAAGAUCAAGUGUAGGUAUCUGUUCUUAUCAGUUUAAUAUCUGAUACGUGGGGCCAUUGGGUCCACCCAUGAAUAAUUAAAUUUAAUUUUUGUGGGGAAGGGUCCGUUCACAGUGGCUUGCCACUGGGGCCCUGUUGUCGCCCAAUGCGUUGCACUACCGCACGGGACUGGCGCGCCCCU
Phoenix dactylifera (date palm) is the source of this 203-nucleotide small nuclear RNA. RefSeq annotates it as U2 spliceosomal RNA. The record is from RefSeq and is a predicted model, not a curated record. Lineage: Eukaryota; Viridiplantae; Streptophyta; Magnoliopsida; Arecales; Arecaceae.